RNAcentral lists this microRNA (23 nucleotides) under Mus musculus (house mouse). RNAcentral describes it as "mmu-miR-468-3p". Its record names the gene mmu-miR-468-3p. The record is from miRBase by way of RNAcentral. Lineage: Eukaryota; Metazoa; Chordata; Mammalia; Rodentia; Muridae.
UAUGACUGAUGUGCGUGUGUCUG